Molecule: long non-coding RNA, 469 nt
Organism: Ficedula albicollis (Collared flycatcher)
Lineage: Eukaryota; Metazoa; Chordata; Aves; Passeriformes; Muscicapidae
Exons: 3
Source: RefSeq, a predicted model, not a curated record
GAGGAAGGGCCUGUCAUGAUCCAGAAGGCAGCAGCGUGGUGGAAGCCUGGAGAAGCCAGGGCUGUGCAAAGCAAGGAGAUAGGGAGAGCCGAGGGUGUCCCUCAGGGCUCCCGCUCUUUUUGUGAGGGCCCUGUUGUAACGCUCACCCCUCCCCAAGGCGAAGCAGAGGCAGCUCCGGAGAAGUCCCACACACAGCAGAGAAGGCAGUGGUAGAGAGAGAAGAAAUGGCUGUGAAGUGCCUUAACCACAAAGCUUCUACAGAUCAGUGGAAAUGAUGGACAGUGGAGAUACUCAUUUGGUACCAGCAAUAUCACAAAAUUGUCUUCUGCUUCACAUCAACCUACAUGUAUUUCACUUAUACUUAGAAAAUGAUACAGCACAUGCAUAGCACCGGGUCCAGUGCAUGAAACAAGGAGAGACAGAACUAGUCACCAGCUUGUCAUGCAGCCUCAUUUGUCACUGCUCCUUU